AACCAAUUUACGGGAUGACAUAAUGAGGCUUGACGAUACAGAUGGCUGUAAGAUGGGAGUUGUGAGUCCCUCAGUUGGAGUUUGUGGUUUGGGAAGCUGGCCCACUCACUGAAGAGACGAGACAAGUAUUGUGGAGCUCUUGUGAGAAGAGACAGAAAUACACGGCCCACAGUUCAUCUUUGUGCCUUUUUGUAUUAAUUUGGGUCUCUAUAAACAGUAUUUAUGAUACUAAAUACGUCUUAUAAAAUUAAUGUGUUUCUUUAUCCUAGAUUAAAUUAACAAGAAUGUA
RNAcentral lists this long non-coding RNA (289 nucleotides) under Rattus norvegicus (Norway rat). RNAcentral's name for it is "long non-coding RNA NONRATT027631". Lineage: Eukaryota; Metazoa; Chordata; Mammalia; Rodentia; Muridae. The record is from RNAcentral.